Molecule: ribosomal RNA, 378 nt
Filed under: uncultured bacterium
Lineage: Bacteria
Description: bacterial SSU rRNA
Rfam family: Bacterial small subunit ribosomal RNA
Source: RNAcentral
AUUGAACGCUGGCGGCAUGCCUUACACAUGCAAGUCGAACGGCAGCACGGGGGCAACCCUGGUGGCGAGUGGCGAACGGGUGAGUAAUGCAUCGGAACGUGCCCCGUAGCGGGGGAUAACCAGUCGAAAGACUGGCUAAUACCGCAUACGCUCCACGGAGGAAAGCAGGGGAUCGCAAGACCUUGCACUAUGGGAGCGGCCGAUGCCCGAUUAGCUAGUUGGUGAGGUAAAGGCUCACCAAGGCGACGAUCGGUAGCUGGUUUGAGAGAACGACCAGCCACACUGGGACUGAGACACGGCCCAGACUCCUACGGGAGGCAGCAGUGGGGAAUUUUGGACAAUGGGCGCAAGCCUGAUCCAGCCAUGCCGCGUGCGGGA